This 587-nucleotide ribosomal RNA is filed under the name uncultured bacterium. RNAcentral describes it as "bacterial SSU rRNA". It matches the Rfam family "Bacterial small subunit ribosomal RNA", at positions 338 to 916 of the family's 1533-position model. The record is from RNAcentral.
CCUACGGGAGGCAGCAGUAGGGAGUCUUCCGCAAUGGACGAAAGUCUGACGGAGCAACGCCGCGUGAGUGAAGAAGGCCUUCGGGUCGUAAAGCUCUGUUGUUAGGGAAGAACAAGUACCGGAGUAACUGCCGGUACCUUGACGGUACCUAACCAGAAAGCCACGGCUAACUACGUGCCAGCAGCCGCGGUAAUACGUAGGUGGCAAGCGUUGUCCGGAAUUAUUGGGCGUAAAGCGCGCGCAGGCGGUUCCUUAAGUCUGAUGUGAAAGCCCCCGGCUCAACCGGGGAGGGUCAUUGGAAACUGGGGAACUUGAGUGCAGAAGAGAAGAGCGGAAUUCCACGUGUAGCGGUGAAAUGCGUAGAGAUGUGGAAGAACACCAGUGGCGAAGGCGGCUCUUUGGUCUGUAACUGACGCUGAGGCGCGAAAGCGUGGGGAGCAAACAGGAUUAGAUACCCUGGUAGUCCACGCCGUAAACGAUGAGUGCUAAGUGUUAGAGGGUUUCCGCCCUUUAGUGCUGCAGCUAACGCAUUAAGCACUCCGCCUGGGGAGUACGGCCGCAAGGCUGAAACUCAAAGGAAUUGACGG